This 210-nucleotide unclassified non-coding RNA is filed under the name Hevea brasiliensis (rubber tree). The record is from RNAcentral. Lineage: Eukaryota; Viridiplantae; Streptophyta; Magnoliopsida; Malpighiales; Euphorbiaceae.
GGGAAAAAAAAAAGCCAUGAACAAAGUGCUUACAAUUUGCCUUUUAAUUAUUCCCACCCAAUCACUGAAAUCAAUAUUUAGAAUAAUGCAUAAUUACAAUCUCUUAAUUUCUUCCUACGAAUUUCUUUCAAUGGUUAAGAAUGAGACAGCCCUUUUGUCUAUAACAGCAAUAAAAAUUAACAGAACAGAAGAAACUUGUUAAAUAAAUUU